GAGUUGAUAAUUGUGGCGCGCCCAAAGUACCCAACUGAGUUGAUAACAAGUCCACUUCUCACUUUGCACAGUCUCGAAUUUAUUUGACCCUAAAAAAAAAAAAAGGAAAAAAAAAGGAAAAAGUCUCAAACUUCAAACGCCAAUGAACAAAGACACAUGGAUCUCCAAAUCCAGCAAGACUUCAAAUACUUGAAUCAAUCCCACUCAAGAAGAAGAAGAAAAGCUUAAACCUGGCUCCUGAUAUCUGGAAACGCCUCUUCCCUCCACGAAGAACCAGAAGGCCAAUCUUCCCUCUCCAAUUUCCAACCGGGAUAGUUCGGCCAUUGCCAAUCAAUCCCAGAAUGGAGAUAAACCUGUUCAAGUUAUGCUCCGGCCUCAA
Molecule: long non-coding RNA, 379 nt
Filed under: Prunus persica (peach)
Lineage: Eukaryota; Viridiplantae; Streptophyta; Magnoliopsida; Rosales; Rosaceae
Description: long non-coding RNA (PPER_LNC002768)
Source: RNAcentral